ACACUUUACCUUAAUGAAUUCGGGAUCGGACUGAGAUGCUGAUUCAACGUUCUAUCUUUACUAAACCUACGCAAGGAAACAAACCGUACGCUGAGUAUGGUAUACUCAGUGGUAUUUCUAUAAUCCGAACACUUGAUAAUAUAACAAUUAAACUUAAAAUCACAAUGAUAAAUAUAACCAUUCAUUUAUUUAUUUUAUAGAUAAGUUUCAUUUACUUACCAUAAAAAUUCUAUACAAGCCAUAUAACAAACACAACAACAUAUUUGCUCAAUUCUUUUCAUUUGCUUACUGUAUAACUUCUUUCAAUAUAUUCACAAUUCACUUGUAUUCACACUUUACUUCUUAACAAUAUACCAUUUUAAUUCAUUCUAACAUCAAUCAUCAUCCAUUUGAACUUCACUCAUUUCAUGAACCUUUUGGUUCAUGUUUUCAAUCUCAUAUCUCAAUUUCAAUUCUCAAUUCAAUUUCUCAUUUCAUUCCAAUAGUUCAAUCAAUCAAAUUCACUCGAUUUAUCUUUUCACUUAUUUACCACUAUUAACAAACCUGAACUUUGACGGAUACACGGAUUCCAACCCAAACACACCAGUACGGCACAUUGUGCCUAAAACGGUACAUAGUACCUGAUCAGUAUACGACACAUAAAGUGCCUAAAACGACACACGAGGUGCCUGAUACGACACACGAGGUGCCUGAAAUACGACACAUAAAGUGCCUAAUCGGUAAAGCUAGCAAAUCCCCGUACACUUUCAGAUCCUAUGGCAUGCCAAUUAUAUCCGACUUAGCCCGACUAGUUAAUAGGGUAUUUGUAACACCCCCUACCCGUAUCCGUCGCCGGAAUAGAGUACGAGGCAUUACCGAGGAGUACAAAAACACUUACAGAUAAUUUAAAUAUAUUUUCAUAACAACUUGUCUCGAUUUCAUACUAUUUCAUAUUUAAGCUUUACUCACCAAAGUAUUUGAAAUAUCAUCUUUAUGCAAAUAGCACACAUGAGGUACAUAAUUCCAUAGUUAAGAAUGAACACAUUUAUCAAACAUAUUCCAUAUUCAUAUAUCAAUGUCUUACAUUUCCAUAAAUCAAUAACUGUCAUUUUUCUUGUUUUUCAGAUAAUUAUGUGUAACCAUUGAUAAGCAUGUAAUUCACUGUUUCUUCCUGUCAAUGACAAUUUCAAAUGACAAAUUCGUGUGAAUCAGCUCAACCUCAUUAGGUGUUUAAAUUCUGUCACUUUGAUUCACAUACUCAUAAUUUACUAACAUAUAUUGUCAAACACAAUCUCUGAAUGAUAAAAAUCACAUAAUUGAGCUCAAUAAUAAUGAUAACAUUACUUACAUUUCUUUUUCCACAUGUUACAUUUACGACUUACCAACUUGUCCAUCCAAGGAAUAGCUUACGGAUUUGAGUACAUCAUGAUCUGAAGCCCGAAAUCUAGCUGAAGCACAUAAGUGCUAAACGGCAGCCCGAAGGCUAAUUGAAGCACAUAAGUGCUAAACGGAAGCCCGGAGGCUAACUGAAGCACAUAAGUGCUAAACGGAAGCCCGGAGGCUAACUGAAGCUCAUCAGAGCUGAACUGAAACCCCAAAAGGGUUAACUGAAACUCAUAUGAGUUAACGGAAGCUCGUACGAGUUAAACGGAAAGCAAACACGAGAAUUCGUAACAAAUGCUGAAUCUCGGUUUACUUGGGUAAUUUACCGUCAAUUCAUCUUUUUCACUGAAAGAUUAUACUCAUUUCCUGCGUUCCGUUCCUCCGAAAUUCUCAGUUUAAUUUCAUAACUUUUGUACAUAAUUUACUUAUUUUCAACAAUUAACAUACAUAAAUAUUAAUCACCAUUCAUAAAAUAAUAUUGAAAUUUAAUAAUAUUAACAAAUGGUUACUAAAUUUAGUUAUAUAAACUCACAAGUUCGAUUUUUGUAUUAUAGCGAUAAUCAUAAUUUCAUAAUAAAUAUUCCAAAUAAAAUAUUAUAUCGUUUCUAAUUCAACACUUAUUGAUUAUAAUCGGGCAUGUAAUCAAAAUUUAUACACGAUUCAUUCAUAUAUUUUUGUAUAUUUUUCUCCUCCUCCUCUCCAUCCACAUCCUUAGUAUAAACAACACACUUGUAGGUAACAUUAUCUAUAAUUUUCACUAUCUAUUUAUGUGAAUAUUCAAGUUGUCCAUCUGUGUCAUAGUUACUAAAUUAUUUUUAUCUUGAGCUACAGAACUCCAAAUUAAGAUCUAUGAAUUUUCCCAGAAACUAGAUUCACAUAUAUUCUUACCAUAAAAGUUUCAUAAUUUUUGGUUGGGCCAAUUAAUACAGUUUAUUCAUUGAAGUCUCCCCUGUUCUGCUGUCUGAUAGUUCCGACCUUCUUCACUAAAAAUUAAUUAUCUUCUCGUACAAGAUUCGAAUGAUGUCCUCGUUUGUUUUUCUUGAAAAUAGACUCAUUCAGAAUUCUAAACAUAUAAAUUUAAGCCUCUAAUUAUUUUUAUCCAAUUUUUGAUGAUUUUCCAAAUUCAAAAAAGGGGAACCCGAAAUCAUUCUGAUCUUGUCUCACAAAAGUUAUUGUAUCUCGUGAUUUAAAAUUCCAUUGCUUACAUAAUUUCUUUUAUAAGAAACUAGACUCAAUAAGCUUUAAUUUCAUAUUUUAUUCAUCCUCUAAUUCCAUUUCUACAAGUUUUGGUGAUUUUUCAAAGUUAGACUUCUGCUGCUGUCCAAAACAGUUUUAGUGCAAAAUGAUGAUUUCCAUUUUGCCCCAAAUUUUACAAUUCAUACAAUUCAGUCCUUGCUCAAUUAACCGCUCAAUUAAGAUAAUUUUCUCAAUUAAUACUUUUCCUAAACAUUAUAAGUUAUUUCACAACUAUUUAAAUUCAGAAUUUCCACAUAAAACUCUAAAUUCAAACUCUUUUACAAUUAGGUCCCAAACAUUCAAUUUCUAUUCAAUUCUUACAAUAAAAUCAACAUAUAAACAAUUUAAAACUCUAAUUCCAUGCCAAAUCAUCAUAUGCUUCCAGAAAAUAUGUAUAUAAACUUUCAAUUUCUUUCAUAGAAUCAAAAACUAAUGAAUUCAACAAGUGGACCUAGUUGUAAAAGUCACAAAAACACAAAAAUUUCAAGAAAUAAUCAAGAAUUGAACUUACUUGGAGUAAAAAAUAUGAAAAACCAGCUUAAUAGAACUCCUCCAUGGCGUUUUUCUGAUGAGAAUGCAGAAAAAUAAAGAGAAAUCUAGAUAAUUCCAUAUUAGUCCUAGCUUUAUUAAGUAAAUUUUGCAAUUUUCCAAUUUUACCCUUAAUUCUCCUUAUUUUCUUGCUGAUUUCAUGCCCUUGCCGUCCAGCCCAAAUAGACCUUGGGUCUAUUUUCCUUUUAAACCCUCUUUCUUUUAUUAAUUAAGCUAUUUAAUCAUUUUCCACAAUUUUGCAUUUGAUACAAUUUAGUCCUUUUUGUUCAAUUAACUAUCAGAACUUUAAAAUUUAUUGACGAAACUUUAAUACUAAUAUAUUAACACUCCAUAAAUAUUUAUAAAAAUAUUUAUAAAAAUAUUUAUGGCUCAAUUUAAAAUUAUCGAGGUCUCGAUACCUCGUUUUCGAUUCUAAUUAUUUUAAUAUUUAUUUUUAGUACACUAUUCACUAUUUUCAAUUUUUUUUCCUAACUUCACAUUUAAUUUAUGAUCACUAAAUUAAUAAUAUUUCCUACUCAUUUGUCGGAUUUAGUGAUCUCGAAUCACUGUUCCGACACCACUGAAAAUUAGGCUGUUACAGUAUUUCAUUCACUUUCUCAAUUUAAUAAUUCUUUCAUCAAUAUCUCAUUCAGAUAAUUACAUAUAUUUACCCAUUUUCACAAUUCAUACAAUUUCAUUCAAUUCAACAAUAGAUUUCAAUUAUUCACAUUAAUUCAUAAUUCAAUACAAUUCAAUUCAUUUUUCAAUAUCAAAUAUUCAAAUAUCACAAUCUCAUAUAUUCAUAUCAAUUUCCUCAUAUUUCCAAUCAAUAUAUUUUUCAAUAUAACAUUCAUUCAAUAUUCAAAUUUCUACAUAAAUCAUAUAUAUUAUAUAAUUCAAUCAAUAUAAAUUCAAUCAAAAUAAUUUCAAUCAAUAUAAAUUCAAUAAAACAGAUAUUCAUAAAUCAAUUCAAUAUAAAUUUAUCACACACUAAAUCAAUUCAUUUCAAUUAUAAAGACACAAUACAAAUAAUUCCCAUCUUAAUUAUUUAUCAUAAUAUUUAUCCAAAAUUCAAUUAUCAUAAUUGCAUAAUAUCUCAUUCACACACACACACACAUAUAUAUAUUUAUAAUAUAUAAUUCAAUUUAAUUCAAUCAAUAUAAAUUCAUCACAUACCAAAUUAAUCCAUGUCCAUUAUAAACACAAUAAUUCUCACUUCAACAUUUAUUAAAUGCAUUGAAUAAAAAAAAUAUAACAAUUAAUAACUAGGUUCGGAUUAUAGAAAUACAAACCGUAUUUUCUCGAGCUAACUCCCUUUGUCUUUGCCAUUUUUUUUCCUUGCUUAGCCGAGGUUUCCCGAGACAACAUUAGCAAAUUAACUUGGAACCUUUAAAACCUUAUUUUUUCCUUUUUCUUUUCUUCCUUUCUCCCUUCUCUGUUUCGUCCCC
RNAcentral lists this long non-coding RNA (4574 nucleotides) under Gossypium barbadense (sea-island cotton). RNAcentral's name for it is "long non-coding RNA (GBAR_LNC003697)". The record is from RNAcentral. Lineage: Eukaryota; Viridiplantae; Streptophyta; Magnoliopsida; Malvales; Malvaceae.